UACGUAGGGUGCGAGCGUUGUCCGGAAUUAUUGGGCGUAAAGGGCUCGUAGGCGGUUUGUCGCGUCGGGAGUGAAAACAUCCAGCUUAACUGGGUGCUUGCUUUCGAUACGGGCAGACUAGAGGUAUGCAGGGGAGAACGGAAUUCCUGGUGUAGCGGUGAAAUGCGCAGAUAUCAGGAGGAACACCGGUGGCGAAGGCGGUUCUCUGGGCAUGAUCUGACGCUGAGGAGCGAAAGUGUGGGGAGCGAACAGG
RNAcentral lists this ribosomal RNA (253 nucleotides) under uncultured bacterium. RNAcentral describes it as "partial 16S ribosomal RNA". It matches the Rfam family "Bacterial small subunit ribosomal RNA", at positions 524 to 776 of the family's 1533-position model. The record is from RNAcentral.